UCACCUACGGGAGGCAGCAGUGGGGAAUAUUGCACAAUGGGGGAAACCCUGAUGCAGCGACGCCGCGUGGGUGACGAAGUAUUUCGGUAUGUAAAGCCCUAUCAGCAGGGAAGAAGAUGACAGUACCUGACCAAGAAGCCCCGGCUAACUACGUGCCAGCAGCCGCGGUAAUACGUAGGGGGCAAGCGUUAUCCGGAUUUACUGGGUGUAGAGGGAGCGUAGGGGGCAUGGCAAGCCAGAAGUGAAAACCCGGGGCUUAACCCCGCGGAUUGCGUUUGGAACUGAC
RNAcentral lists this ribosomal RNA (286 nucleotides) under uncultured bacterium. RNAcentral's name for it is "partial 16S ribosomal RNA". It matches the Rfam family "Bacterial small subunit ribosomal RNA", at positions 335 to 637 of the family's 1533-position model. The record is from RNAcentral.